GAUGAACGCUGGCGGCGUGCCUAAUACAUGCAAGUCGAGCGAACAGACGAGGAGCUUGCUCCUCUGACGUUAGCGGCGGACGGGUGAGUAACACGUGGAUAACCUACCUAUAAUACUGGUAUAACUUCGGGAAACCGGAGCUAAUACCGGAUAAUAUAUUGAACCGCAUGGUUCAAUAGUGAAAGACGGUUUUGCUGUCACUUAUAGAUGGAUCCGCGCCGAAUUAGCUAGUUGGUAAGGUAACGGCUUACCAAGGCAACGAUGCGUAGCCGACCUGAGAGGGUGAUCGGCCACACUGGAACUGAGACACGGUCCAGACUACUACGGGAGGCAGCAGUAGGGAAUCUUACGCAAUGGGCGAAAGCCUGACGGAGCAACGCGGAGUGAGUGAUGAAGGUCUUCGGAUCGUAAAACUCUGUUAUUAGGGAAGAACCAAUGUGUAAGUAACUAUGCACGUCUUGACGGUAACUAAUCAGAAAGCCACGGCUAACUACGUG
This 497-nucleotide ribosomal RNA is filed under the name uncultured bacterium. RNAcentral's name for it is "partial 16S ribosomal RNA". It matches the Rfam family "Bacterial small subunit ribosomal RNA", at positions 28 to 507 of the family's 1533-position model. The record is from RNAcentral.